This 169-nucleotide ribosomal RNA is filed under the name uncultured bacterium. Its description in RNAcentral is "partial 16S ribosomal RNA". It matches the Rfam family "Bacterial small subunit ribosomal RNA", at positions 338 to 521 of the family's 1533-position model. The record is from RNAcentral.
CCUACGGGGGGCAGCAGUGGGGAAUUUUCCGCAAUGGGCGCAAGCCUGACGGAGCAAUACCGCGUGAGGGAGGAAGGCUUUUGGGUUGUAAACCUCUUUUCUCAAGGAAGAAGCAAGUGACGGUACUUGAGGAAGAAGCAUCGGCUAACUCCGUGCCAGCAGCCGCGGU